AUUGAACGCUGGCGGAAUGCUUUACACAUGCAAGUCGAACGGCAGCACGGAGAGCUUGCUCUCUGGUGGCGAGUGGCGAACGGGUGAGUAAUAUAUCGGAACGUGUCCAAUAAUGGGGGAUAACGAGUCGAAAGAUUCGCUAAUACCGCAUACGCCUACGGGGGAAAGCAGGGGAUCGUAAGACCUUGCGUUAAUGGAGCGGCCGAUAUCUGAUUAGCUUGUUGGUGAGGUAAAGGCUCACCAAGGCGACGAUCAGUAGCUGGUUUGAGAGAACGACCAGCCACACUGGAACUGAGACACGGUCCAGACUCCUACGGGAGGCAGCAGUGGGGAAUUUUGGACAAUGGGGGCAACCCUGAUCCAGCCAUUCCGCGUGAGUGAAGAAGGCCUUCGGGUUGUAAAGCUCUUUCGCAAGGGAAGAAAACUUAUGAUCGAAUAAAUCAUGAGGUUGACGGUACCUU
This 461-nucleotide ribosomal RNA is filed under the name uncultured bacterium. RNAcentral's name for it is "bacterial SSU rRNA". It matches the Rfam family "Bacterial small subunit ribosomal RNA", at positions 30 to 481 of the family's 1533-position model. The record is from RNAcentral.